UACGUAGGUGGCUAGCGUUGUCCGGAAUUACUGGGCGUAAAGCGUGCGCAGGCGGUUCGUUGUGUCGGUGGUGAAAUCCCCGGGCUUAACCUGGGAAUGGCCAUGGAAACUGGCGAACUGGAGUGCGGCAGAGGGGGGUGGAAUUCCGCGUGUAGCAGUGAAAUGCGUAGAGAUGCGGAGGAACACCGAUGGCGAAGGCAGCCCCCUGGGCUAGCACUGACGCUCAGGCACGAAAGCGUGGGGAGCAAACAGG
This 253-nucleotide ribosomal RNA is filed under the name uncultured bacterium. Its description in RNAcentral is "partial 16S ribosomal RNA". It matches the Rfam family "Bacterial small subunit ribosomal RNA", at positions 524 to 776 of the family's 1533-position model. The record is from RNAcentral.